CGGUCUCUUUCGAAGAUUUGUGUGCCUCUCCGAACGAUCUCGAGAUCCUUCGAGAGAGACACGAAUUUCUCAGAGACAUUUUCGCCCACCCGCUUCUUCUUUUGAUUUUGUUUUUUGAUUCUCUGAGAGAGAGUGAGAGAGAUAUUUUACUUUUAGCCUUUUUUUUUUUUCCUUUUUUUGUUGGUGGGUGAGUGAUUGAGAUGAGAGGGAGGGACGAAUGGUAUGAAA
This 228-nucleotide long non-coding RNA is filed under the name Citrus sinensis (sweet orange). RNAcentral describes it as "long non-coding RNA (CSIN_LNC002010)". Lineage: Eukaryota; Viridiplantae; Streptophyta; Magnoliopsida; Sapindales; Rutaceae. The record is from RNAcentral.